UUUAAGUUCCCUAUAACAUGACAUAUCUUCUUUUACUUAUCCAUAUUUCUUCUCUCUCUUGUUGAAGCUAAGCACAAAAACAACAAUGGCUCCGGCUUCUAAUUUUCACUGCAUCUCUAAGUCUGUGUGUGUCAUGGAUGCCUCGACUCGUCUCGGCUCGAGCUUAGUCAAGCGGCUACUCACAAAUGGCUACACGGUUCAUGCUGCUAUUCAAAAUAUUCACGAUGGUGAUCAUGAUGAACUCUUGGAAUUAAGUGAUGGAUUGGAUGCAUGUGACAUGAAGAGACUUAAGAAUUUUCAUCUAGACCCUUUUGAUUAUCAUAGUAUUGUUGAUGCUCUAAAGGGAUGUUCUGGCUUGUUUUACUCCUUUGAACUUCCAAAGGACCAGUCAAGCACUUAUGAUGAAUAUAUUGGAGAAGUGGAGGUGAGGGCAGCACAUAAUGUACUGGAAGCAUGUGCACAAACAGACACUAUUGAAAAAGUUGUGUUCACUUCCUCAGCAACUGCAAUUAUUUGGGGACAUCAUGAAAAUGAUCAAAACUCUGCAUCCAUGGUUCUUGAUGAAAGACAUUGGAGUGACAUCAACUUUUGUCGUAAAUAUAAGCUAUGGCAUGCAUUGUCAAAAACACUAGCAGAGAAGACAGCUUGGGCAUUGGCUAUGGACAGAGGAGUCAACAUGGUAUCAGUCAACGCAGGACUGUUGAUGGGUCCUGAUCUAACGGUCACAAAUCCAUAUCUUAAAGGUGCUGCUGAGAUGUACGAAGAUGGAGUGUUUGUGACCGUUGAUCUAGAUUUCUUGGUGGAGGCCCACAUUUGUAUCUACGAAGAAAUUUCAACUUAUGGACGCUAUUUGUGCUUUAAUCACAUCAUUAACCAAACUGAAGAUGCUGUUAAACUUGCCAACAUGUUAUCCCCUUUGCUUUCUUCACUUCAAAGUUGGGAGAGUGAUACAAGGAUAAUUCAAGAAAGGAUAAGCAACAAGAAGUUGAACAAACUUAUGGUUGAAUGCCAGCCACAGACAAAUGGCAAAUCAAGAGGAAUGCUUAUGAAAGUGUCAACAUAAUAUCCUUUUGAUUGGGCAUUAUGAAUUGAUUAGUAACCUCCAUAUAUUCUAGAAAUUAUUGUCCAAGGUUAUUAAAUUCGACAACAAUAUUCCACCCAAACAAAAGAAAAUAUACUAAAGAAGGAAUUAAUUAUAUAUUAAGCUCAAAAAUGGCUUAAUAUAUAUAUGGCAUGUAAUUAUGUUGAUGUGCAAAGUCAACAUUAGUAAAGCAAUAAUUUAAGAGCCCCAUAUGACUUUUAGGGGAUAAUAUUUUUGCAACUUGUA
Molecule: RNA transcript, 1327 nt
Organism: Solanum dulcamara
Lineage: Eukaryota; Viridiplantae; Streptophyta; Magnoliopsida; Solanales; Solanaceae
Gene name: cinnamoyl-CoA reductase-like SNL6
Exons: 5
Source: RefSeq, a predicted model, not a curated record